This is a long non-coding RNA of Labeo rohita (rohu), 1089 nucleotides long. RefSeq lists it as uncharacterized. The record is from RefSeq and is a predicted model, not a curated record. The transcript is spliced from 3 exons. Lineage: Eukaryota; Metazoa; Chordata; Actinopteri; Cypriniformes; Cyprinidae.
CCGCACUGAUUCGUUCGUCCAAAUUCAAAAUUUACCACUUCAAUUAACUACGCAGUAAAAUCGAACGCUCAUUGGUCCUCGCCUGCUUCGUCACAGAUUGCGACAGCAGUGUUCCUGUCUAGGUGUGUUUGAAUGAUGCGCGCUUUCACAAAGUGAAUCAGGAGGAUAGUCUGGGUAAUAUUUUUAGCGAUUAAAAACUUAAAUUGUGCUCUGUACCUCACACCAAACUAUUGUAUUUCACCUGCGGUGGCAACGCAGCAUCAUUUGGACUACUUUUGACCUGGCCAUGUACCCUGCCCUCUUCAUACAGGUUGUCAUGAUGUCAUUACAGAAGGCAGCCGAAGAACAACUUGGGACACCUUCUGAAAACAGAGACAGUGACUCACACGCACACACACACACACACAGACAAUAAAUAUAUAAUUAAUAUAAAUCAAUAUGUUCUUGUUACUGUUUCCCAUUAUUUGGACACAUUUUGAUGCUUUACUGUGGAAAUUGUCAUAUCAAUAAAGCCAAUUUGAAAAUAAUUGAAUUGACUGAUAGUUUCCUGUAAUGUGUUACUAAAGGUUCUAAAAACAUUCAGUAAAUGUGGGGAAGGACCUAAAUAGGACCAAAAAAACAUUUUAGGUUGGUCCAGCAAAUGUUAUGGGAAUGUAGUGUAGAGACUAAUAGGGGACUUCCUAUAGUAAUAACCUACGUCCUUGACACCAGCGUGGACGUUCUGACAACGUUUUGGGAACGUCACAUUUCCAAAUAAAAUAUGGUCCCCUAAACGUCCCAAGAACGUCCUGAAUGUUCUGUGAAGGUCAUCCAAAUAACGUCCCCCAAACCUUUAAAGAACUCCACAUCAUGACCGUCUCAGAACGUUAUGGGGACGUUACUAAACAACGUCCUUGACACCAGUGGGGACGUUCUGAGGACGUUCUGGGAACGUCACCUUUCCAAAUAAAAUAUGGUCCCCUAAACGUCCCAAAAACGUCCUGAAUGUUCUGUGAAGGUCUUCCAAAUAACGUCCCCCAAACCUUUAAAGAACUCCACAUUGUGACCAUCUCAGAACGUUAUGGGGACGUUACUAAACAACGUCCUUGA